AUGCUUCUCCUAAAGACUAAGCCAUGCAUGCCUCGAAUAGAAGAGCAAUAUCUCUCCGAAUCUGCGUACGGCUCCGCACACCAGUUGUAACACAAUGGCAUGCCGGUUUCCGAGAUCGCCGCAAGGCGUUUCUUGGGGACCACAAGGAUAUCCCUGGUAAUUCUGAGGCUAAUACAAGAACAUACCACCUUUGGCUGACCGGCAACGGGAUGCUGGGGUGCGUGUAAGACCUCGCUAAAUUACUAUGAGAAGCUGCACGCUCUGACCACUGCAAAAAACGGGCUCGCUUGUGAACCUUCGGGGGAUCGGGCUUGCUCGAGUGGCUCAUGCAAUGUGCUUCUGACCUAUCAACUAGAUGGCGGCGUAAGGGACAUGCUAUGGUGACAACGGGUACGGAGGAUAAGGGUUCGAUCCUGGAGAGUGGGCCUGAGAGAUUGCUCACACUUCUAAGGAAGGCAGCAGGCGCGCAACGUUCCCAUUGGACUCCGUCCGAGGGCGUUAGGGGAAAUAUGAAUGUCUGCCUUAUGGUGGACAAUUCAAAUGGGACUGUUCUAAACAGCCCA
This 563-nucleotide ribosomal RNA is filed under the name Physarella oblonga. Its description in RNAcentral is "SSU rRNA". It matches the Rfam family "Eukaryotic small subunit ribosomal RNA", at positions 28 to 536 of the family's 1831-position model. The record is from RNAcentral. Lineage: Eukaryota; Evosea; Eumycetozoa; Physariida; Physaraceae.